UCAAAGACCAUGGCCACACUAAUAUCCGCUGGUGUGGUUAUUAUGCAAUGAAAACUACAAAUACAUAUGGACCAAAAGCCUACUAAAACUUGAAGAAAAUAAUAAAUUAAAGAAAUUCCAAGCUUUAUCAUAAACAGCUGUAACUUAAAUCUUAAAUCCCUUGGACACACUUUACAGGAGGAAGUCAAUGGGAUGAAGCCAGAGCAGAAGAUGACUGAGCAGAAAUUAACAAAGUACAUCAGUCCCAGCAUGUCCUUGAGGAGUACCUGGAACAACUAAUCUCGGGAGUCUGUGCUUCCUCUAGAGUACCAGUCAUUUGGAAAGUUAUGUGUGUUACCCUUGACGCUGGAUGAUUGCAACAGUAAGUGGCAACUGGGAUAUUUCUCCAGAGCUUCUACAACGACAAAUUGAGAGUUUCACAAGCACCUGGGGCCCAGCAGAGGUUGGGAAGCCUAUUCUGGGACUUGCCUCCAUCUAAAUGAUUUGAAAAUUCAGCUCCUGAACACAGCCAGAUUGCCGUCAGCAAUUCGAAUAAGUUUUAACAACACUGGA
Long non-coding RNA from Pan troglodytes (chimpanzee), 552 nucleotides. RefSeq lists it as uncharacterized. The record is from RefSeq and is a predicted model, not a curated record. The transcript has 4 exons. NCBI's taxonomy places the organism in Eukaryota, Metazoa, Chordata, Mammalia, Primates, Hominidae.